Molecule: ribosomal RNA, 497 nt
Filed under: uncultured bacterium
Lineage: Bacteria
Description: partial 16S ribosomal RNA
Rfam family: Bacterial small subunit ribosomal RNA
Source: RNAcentral
GAUGAACGCUGGCGGCGUGCCUAAUACAUGCAAGUCGAGCGAACGGACGAGAAGCUUGCUUCUCUGAUGUUAGCGGCGGACGGGAGAGUAACACGUGGAUAACCUACCUAUAAGACUGGGAUAACUUCGGGAAACAGUAGCUAAUACCGGAUAAUAUUUUGAACCGCAUGGUUCAAAAGUGAAAGACGGUCUUGCUGUCACUUAUAGAUGGAUCCGCGCUGCAUUAGCUAGUUGGUAAGGUAACGGCUUACCAAGGCAACGAUGCAUAGCCGACCUGAGAGGGUGAUCGGCCACACUGGAACUGAGACACGGUCCAGACUCCUACGGGAGGCAGCAGUAGGGAAUCUUCCGCAAUGGGCGAAAGCCUGACGGAGCAACGCCGCGUGAGUGAUGAAGGUCUUCGGAUCGUAAAACGCUGUUAUUAGGGAAGAACAUAUGUGUAAGUAUCUGUGCACAUCUUGACGGUACCUAAUCAGAAAGCCACGGCUAACUACGUG